GGGGAUGCCGGGUUUCGACAUCCUUCGGUGCUUCCGAAAAGAAGCGGGCCCAGAAAUGCACGGCCAUCUGGCUAAACAGUUCGUGCACCCAAGAGAUGCCAACGCAACUCGCUCCGACUACGCUCUCGCCGUUUAGUUACGCCGGGACCUAAGCGUGGUCUGUCUCAUCCUGCAUCAGGCAACCGGAACUCGGCCGCAGGAUAGGCAUCAGCCAAAGGAGUCCUGAACGGCCGCUGUGCUGCGAGCAGCCGUUCGUAUCAGCAGCUAGACCGGGUCACGCCGUCGUCCGCCGUGACGGAACCGGGUCGAUAAACAUCAAGGCGGACUACGCCCGUAGAAGAGUUUGGAACCGGAGGGUGGACGGGGGUUCAACUCCCCCCAUCUCCACAC
Molecule: transfer-messenger RNA, 390 nt
Filed under: Micrococcaceae
Lineage: Bacteria; Bacillati; Actinomycetota; Actinomycetes; Micrococcales
Also listed under: 1 other name
Description: Arthrobacter_B sp024385465 Standard tmRNA
Rfam family: transfer-messenger RNA
About the family: Bacterial tmRNA, also known as 10Sa RNA or SsrA, is named for its dual tRNA and mRNA-like properties. Its role is to liberate the mRNA from a stalled ribosome.
Source: RNAcentral